UCACCCUAAGACUUUGUUCUACAUUUCUUUCCUAGGUAUUUCCCCUCCAAGGUCAGCCCCAUACUGCACUGGGCUCUGAAACUAACUAACCAUCCUGAGAAGAGAUACAGGAGAAGGAGAAAAACGUUAAUGGCCUGUGCAUCAGGAAAGUGCGUCCCCUGCCACCCACCUCAGAUUGUUUUGGUCAAUCUCUCCCAUCUGGGAAACCAAGAGCCUAGAUCUUGAAAGAGUAGAGCAAGUGGCUGGGACCCAAUUCGCAUUCUCCCCCUCUCGUCAAGCUGAAGGCACUCACUAUUUAUGGAUAAUCUGAUUUUCUAUACUGAGUAAAUACAGCUUUGUGGUCCAUCCCUAUUAUCCACUUUAGAGUGGAUACCAGUGUUAUUCCUUCUUUGAAAAGGGCUGGGGAUGUGGCUUAGUAGCGUGGUGCCUGCGUGGCAAAUGCAAGGCCUGGAGUUCAAUUCCCAGUACCAAAAAAUGUAUAUAAUAGUCAAUUGGGUUUUUUAACUCCCUUACUUCUUGUGAUAAAAGACACAGAUUCCUAGAGCUGC
This 548-nucleotide long non-coding RNA is filed under the name Fukomys damarensis (Damara mole-rat). RNAcentral's name for it is "lncRNA (ENSFDAG00000031611.1)". Lineage: Eukaryota; Metazoa; Chordata; Mammalia; Rodentia; Bathyergidae. The record is from RNAcentral.